CCUUGCCUACGGGGGGCAGCAGUGGGGAAUAUUGCACAAUGGGGGAAACCCUGAUGCAGCAACGCCGCGUGAGUGAAGAAGGUUUUCGGAUUGUAAAGCUCUGUUAGCAGGGAAGAGGAAGGACGGUACCUGCAGAGGAAGCCACGGCUAACUACGUGCCAGCAGCCGCGGUAAUACGUAGGUGGCAAGCGUUGUUCGGAAUAACUGGGCGUAAAGGCUGCGUAGGCGGGUAAACAAGUUAUAUGUUAAAUAUAUAGGCUUAAACGGUAGAAAGCAUAUAAAACUGUUUAACUAGAGUGAAGGAG
RNAcentral lists this ribosomal RNA (305 nucleotides) under uncultured bacterium. RNAcentral describes it as "bacterial SSU rRNA". It matches the Rfam family "Bacterial small subunit ribosomal RNA", at positions 333 to 654 of the family's 1533-position model. The record is from RNAcentral.